UUUUACAAAAUAUAGUAUUAAGUCUGCAGUUUUAGCAAAAAGUGUAUAUAUAUAUAUAUGUGUGUGUGUGUGUGUGUGUGUGUGUGUGUGUGUGUGUGUGU
Molecule: long non-coding RNA, 101 nt
Organism: Octopus sinensis (East Asian common octopus)
Lineage: Eukaryota; Metazoa; Mollusca; Cephalopoda; Octopoda; Octopodidae
Exons: 4
Source: RefSeq, a predicted model, not a curated record